UGGUGUACCAUGGCUGCAAACAGCCUCUUCGCAGGGUAUGCAUCAUGGUGCCUAUAUGGGUUGCUCUAAGGGACCCUGGAGACAGCC
Molecule: small nucleolar RNA, 87 nt
Filed under: Capra hircus (goat)
Lineage: Eukaryota; Metazoa; Chordata; Mammalia; Artiodactyla; Bovidae
Description: Small nucleolar RNA SNORA70 (ENSCHIG00010004452.1)
Rfam family: Small nucleolar RNA SNORA70
About the family: snoRNA U70 seems to be exclusive to mammals and is a member of the H/ACA class of snoRNA which contain H (ANANNA) and ACA box motifs. H/ACA box snoRNAs are involved in the conversion of uridines to pseudouridines (5-ribosyluracil) a constituent of structural RNAs (transfer, ribosomal, small nuclear, and small nucleolar).
Source: RNAcentral